Molecule: ribosomal RNA, 497 nt
Filed under: uncultured bacterium
Lineage: Bacteria
Description: partial 16S ribosomal RNA
Rfam family: Bacterial small subunit ribosomal RNA
Source: RNAcentral
GAUGAACGCUGGCGGCGUGCCUAAUACAUGCAAGUCGAGCGAACAGAUAAGGAGCUUGCUCCGUUGACGUUAGGGGCGGAGGGGUGAGUAACACGUGGGUAACGUACCUAUAAGACGGGAAUAACUCCGGGAAACGGGGGAUAAUGGGGGAUAACAUUUAGAACCGCAUGGUUGUAAGGUGAGAGAUGGUGGUGGUAUCACUUAUAGAUGGACCCGCGCCGUAUUAGCUAGUUGGUAAGGUAACGGCUUACCAAGGCAACGAUACGUAGCCGAGCUGAGAGAGUGAUCGGCCACCCGGGAACUGAGACACGGUCCAGACUCCUACGGGAGGCAGCAGUCGGCAAUCUUCGGCAAUGGGCGAAAGCCUGACGCAGCAACGCCGCGUGAGUGAUGAAGGCCUCCGGAGCGUAAAACUCUGUUAUUAGGGAAGAACAAAUGUGUAAGUAACUGUGCACGUCUUGACGGUACCUAAUCAGAAAGCCACGGCUAACUACGUG